AAAUCAGGUAGGGCUACCCGCUGAACUUAAGCAUAUCAAUAAGCGGAGGAAAAGAAACUAACUAGGAUUCCCUUAGUAACGGCGAGUGAACCGGGAUGAGCUCAAAUUUAAAAUCUGGCGUCUUUCAGGCGUCCGAGUUGUAAUCUAUAGAGGCGUUUUCCGCGCCGGACCGCGUCCAAGUCUCUUGGAAUAGAGUAUCAAAGAGGGUGACAAUCCCGUACUUGACGCGACAACCGGUGCUCUGUGAUACGUUCUCAAUGAGUCGAGUUGUUUGGGAAUGCAGCUCUAAAUGGGUGGUAAAUUCCAUCUAAGGCNAAAUAUUGGCGAGAGGACCGAUAGCGAACAAGUACCGUGAGGGAAAGAUGAAAAGCACUUUGGAAGGAGGAGUUAAACGGCACGUGAAAUUGUUAANAGGGAAACGAUUGAAGUCAGUCGNGUGAAAGGUAUUCAGCCGUCUCUGGCGGUGUAUUUGCCUUUCACGGGUCAACAUCAGUUUGAUCCGGUAGAAAAAGGCGGGAGGAAGGUGGCACCCUCGGGUGUGUUAUAGCCUCCUGUCAUAUGUGCCGGAGCCAGACUGAGGAACGCAGCUUGCCGCAAGGCCGGGGUUCGC
This 610-nucleotide ribosomal RNA is filed under the name Vishniacozyma victoriae. Its description in RNAcentral is "partial large subunit ribosomal RNA". It matches the Rfam family "Eukaryotic large subunit ribosomal RNA", at positions 8 to 628 of the family's 3401-position model. Lineage: Eukaryota; Fungi; Basidiomycota; Tremellomycetes; Tremellales; Bulleribasidiaceae. The record is from RNAcentral.